RNAcentral lists this ribosomal RNA (484 nucleotides) under uncultured bacterium. RNAcentral describes it as "partial 16S ribosomal RNA". It matches the Rfam family "Bacterial small subunit ribosomal RNA", at positions 30 to 507 of the family's 1533-position model. The record is from RNAcentral.
AUUGAACGCUGGCGGCAGGCCUAACACAUGCAAGUCGAGCGGAUGAAGGGAGCUUGCUCCUGGAUUCAGCGGCGGACGGGCGAGUAAUGCCUAGGAAUCUGCCUGGUAGUGGGGGAUAACGUCAGGUAACGGGCGCUAAUACCGCAUACGUCCUGAGGGAGAAAGUGGGGGAUCUUCGGACCUCACGCUAUCAGAUGAGCCUAGGUCGGAUUAGCUAGUUGGUGGGGUAAAGGCCUACCAAGGCGACGAUCCGUAACUGGUCUGAGAGGCUGAUCAGUCACACUGGAACUGAGACACGGUCCAGACUCCUACGGGAGGCAGCAGUGGGGAAUAUUGGACAAUGGGCGAAAGCCUGAUCCAGCCAUGCCGCGUGUGUGAAGAAGGUCUUCGGAUUGUAAAGCACUGUAAGUUGGGAGGAAGGGCAGUAAGUUAAUACCUUGCUGUUUUGACGUUACCAACAGAAUAAGCACCGGCUAACUUCGUG